UUUUUUUUUUUUGAAAAUAUAAAAUUUCUUAAUGCUCAAUUAUUACAAAUACCGUUUUUUCGUUUACAUUCCGCGUAAUAACACAAUACAGGCCGUCGUCCGUACAAUGUACUCGUUAUUAUUUAUUAUGUAUUAUUAACGUCGUAAACCCUACAAAUAUCGUAAUCUUUUUUUUUUUGGACGGAACUACCUACAGAUAUAAUAAUACAAUAACGCUGUUUAAUCUAACCCGUAAAUAUCUACAAUUAUUAUUACAAUAUGCGUUCGGUACGCACACGGUACAUAAAUAAUAAUUUUAUACACACGCAUAUAAUUUGUUUUUCAACCGUGUUUACCUAAACCAGUCGAAUUACAAAAAUUUAUCAACCCUAUUGUCGUCGUUAUUCAAUAAUUUUAAUUACAAUAAUUUUCGUCGCAAAUUACGGUACGCUAUAUAUUAGGUAUAAUAAUAAUAAUAAUAUAUUCGAACACGUUACAACCCACAACAAAAUUUAUAAAGCUGCGGUUUUUUUUU
Cinara cedri is the source of this 514-nucleotide non-coding RNA. The record is from the annotation of a GenBank genome assembly. Lineage: Eukaryota; Metazoa; Arthropoda; Insecta; Hemiptera; Aphididae.